This 318-nucleotide ribosomal RNA is filed under the name uncultured Pseudomonas sp. RNAcentral's name for it is "bacterial SSU rRNA". It matches the Rfam family "Bacterial small subunit ribosomal RNA", at positions 1066 to 1382 of the family's 1533-position model. The record is from RNAcentral. Lineage: Bacteria; Pseudomonadati; Pseudomonadota; Gammaproteobacteria; Pseudomonadales; Pseudomonadaceae.
CGUGAGAUGUUGGGUUAACGUCCCGUAACGAGCGCAACCCUUGUCCUUAGUUACCAGCACGUUAUGGUGGGCACUCUAAGGAGACUGCCGGUGACAAACCGGAGGAAGGUGGGGAUGACGUCAAGUCAUCAUGGCCCUUACGGCCUGGGCUACACACGUGCUACAAUGGUCGGUACAAAGGGUUGCCAAGCCGCGAGGUGGAGCUAAUCCCAUAAAACCGAUCGUAGUCCGGAUCGCAGUCUGCAACUCGACUGCGUGAAGUCGGAAUCGCUAGUAAUCGUGAAUCAGAAUGUCACGGUGAAUACGUUCCCGGGCCUU